Molecule: ribosomal RNA, 332 nt
Filed under: uncultured bacterium
Lineage: Bacteria
Description: bacterial SSU rRNA
Rfam family: Bacterial small subunit ribosomal RNA
Source: RNAcentral
CACGCAGGCGGGCCGUUAAGUAGGGCGUGAAAUCUCCCGGCCUAACUGGGAGGGGUCGCUCUAAACUGGCGGUCUUGAGAAUGGCAGAGGUAGGUGGAAUUCCUGGUGUAGUGGUGAAAUGCGUAGAGAUCAGGAGGAACACCGGUGGCGAAGGCGGCCUACUGGGCCAUCACUGACGCUGAGGUGCGAAAGCUCGGGGAGCGAACGGGAUUAGAUACCCCGGUAGUCCGAGCCGUAAACGAUGGGUACUAGGUGUUCGUGGUAUCGACCCCACGGGUGCCGGAGCUAACGCGAUAAGUACCCCGCCUGGGGAGUACGGCCGCAAGGUUAAA